GGAGUUUGAUCGUGGCUCAGGAUGAACGCUAGCGGCGCGCCUAACACAUGCAAGCCGAACGGCACCUAUCUUCGGAUAGAAGCGAGUGGCGAACGGCUGAGUAACACGUGGAGAACCUGCCCCCUCCCCCGGGAUAGCCGCCCGAAAGGACGGGUAAUACCGGAUACCCCCGGGAGCCGCAUGGCGCCCGGGCUAAAGCCCCGACGGGAGGGGAUGGCUCCGCGGCCCAUCAGGUAGACGGCGGGGUGACGGCCCACCGUGCCGACAACGGGUAGCCGGGUUGAGAGACCGACCGGCCAGAUUGGGACUGAGACACGGCCCAGACUCCUACGGGAGGCAGCAGUGGGGAAUCUUGCGCAAUGGGGGCAACCCUGACGCAGCGACGCCGCGUGAAGGAAGAAGUAUCUCGGUAUGUAAACUUCUAUCAGC
RNAcentral lists this ribosomal RNA (429 nucleotides) under uncultured bacterium. RNAcentral describes it as "bacterial SSU rRNA". It matches the Rfam family "Bacterial small subunit ribosomal RNA", at positions 9 to 440 of the family's 1533-position model. The record is from RNAcentral.